AGCUUUGCGCAGUGGCAGUAUCGUAGCCAAUGAGGUUUAUCCGAGGCGCGAUUAUUGCUAAUUGAAGAUUGAGAUACAUAAUUUUAUCUCCCCAGUUUAAUUAUAUGAAGGAAGUUAUGCAAAUGUAAGUCA
Molecule: small nuclear RNA, 132 nt
Filed under: Neogale vison (American mink)
Lineage: Eukaryota; Metazoa; Chordata; Mammalia; Carnivora; Mustelidae
Description: Neovison vison (American mink) U4 spliceosomal RNA (ENSNVIG00000003407.1)
Rfam family: U4 spliceosomal RNA
About the family: U4 small nuclear RNA (U4 snRNA) is a component of the major U2-dependent spliceosome. The structure of U4 snRNA from yeast and human has been reported.
Source: RNAcentral